CCUACGGGUGGCUGCAGUGGGGAAUAUUGGACAAUGGGCGAAAGCCCUAUCCAGCCAUGCCGCGUGUGUGAAGAAGGCCUUCGGGUUGUAAAGCACUUUCAGUGGGGAAGAAAGCCUUGGGGCUAAUACCCUCGAGGAAGGACAUCACCCACAGAAGAAGCACCGGCUAACUCCGUGCCAGCAGCCGCGGUAAUACGGAGGGUGCGAGCGUUAAUCGGAAUUACUGGGCGUAAAGCGCGCGUAGGCGGUCUGAUAAGCCGGUUGUGAAAGCCCCGGGCUCAACCUGGGAACGGCAUCCGGAACUGUCAGGCUAGAGUGCAGGAGAGGAAGGUAGAAUUCCCGGUGUAGCGGUGAAAUGCGUAGAGAUCGGGAGGAAUACCAGUGGCGAAGGCGGCCUUCUGGACUGACACUGACGCUGAGGUGCGAAAGCGUGGGUAGCAAACAGGAUUAGAUACCCGUGUAGUC
Molecule: ribosomal RNA, 465 nt
Filed under: Vreelandella stevensii
Lineage: Bacteria; Pseudomonadati; Pseudomonadota; Gammaproteobacteria; Oceanospirillales; Halomonadaceae
Description: partial 16S ribosomal RNA
Rfam family: Bacterial small subunit ribosomal RNA
Source: RNAcentral